GUAGUUAGCCGGGGCUUCCUCCUUGGCUACCGUCACUUUCUUCGUCACCAAGGACAGAGGUUUACAACCCGAAAGCCUUCUUCCCUCACGCGGCGUUGCUGGGUCAGGCUUGCGCCCAUUGCCCAAUAUUCCCCACUGCUGCCUCCCGUAGGAGUCUGGACCGUGUCUCAGUUCCAGUGUGGCCGAUCAGCCUCUCAGCUCGGCUACCCAUCGCGGACUUGGUGGGCCGUUACCCCGCAACUAUCUAAUGGGACGCGAACCCCUCCUUCUGCGGAUUGCUCCUUUGACCUCAUCCCGAUGCCGGGUCGUGGUCUUAUGCGGUAUUAGCACUUGUUUCCAGGUGUUAUCCCCCGUCAAAACGGUCAGGUUGUUCACGCGUUACUCACCCGUUCGCCACUCAGUUACCAACCGAAAUCGAUAACUCCGUUCGACUUGCAUGUGUUAGGCACGCCGCCAGCGUUCGUCCUGAGCCAGAAUCGAACCCUGA
This 487-nucleotide ribosomal RNA is filed under the name uncultured bacterium. RNAcentral's name for it is "partial 16S ribosomal RNA". The record is from RNAcentral.